UACGAAGGGGGCUAGCGUUGCUCGGAAUCACUGGGCGUAAAGCGCACGUAGGCGGACUCUUAAGUCGGUGGUGAAAUCCUGGAGCUCAACUCCAGAACUGCCUCCGAUACUGGCGAUCUCGAGUCCGGGAGAGGUGAGUGGAACUGCGAGUGUAGAGGUGAAAUUCGUAGAUAUUCGCAAGAACACCAGUGGCGAAGGCGGCUCACUGGCCCGGUACUGACGCUGAGGUGCGAAAGCGUGGGGAGCGAACAGG
RNAcentral lists this ribosomal RNA (253 nucleotides) under uncultured bacterium. Its description in RNAcentral is "partial 16S ribosomal RNA". It matches the Rfam family "Bacterial small subunit ribosomal RNA", at positions 524 to 776 of the family's 1533-position model. The record is from RNAcentral.